UGCGUAACGGCGUGGGAAUCUGCCUUUAGGUUCGGAAUAACAGUUAGAAAGGGGUGCUAAUACCGGAUGAUGUCUUCGGACCAAAGAUUUAUCGCCUUUAGAUGGGCCCGCGUUGGAUUAGCUAGUUGGUGGGGUAAAGGCCUACCAAGGCGACGAUCCAUAGCUGGUCUGAGAGGAUGAUCAGCCACACUGGGACUGAGACACGGCCCAGACUCCUACGGGAGGCAGCAGUGGGGAAUAUGGACAAUGGCGCAAGCCGUCCAGCA
RNAcentral lists this ribosomal RNA (266 nucleotides) under uncultured Sphingomonas sp. RNAcentral's name for it is "partial 16S ribosomal RNA". It matches the Rfam family "Bacterial small subunit ribosomal RNA", at positions 107 to 392 of the family's 1533-position model. The record is from RNAcentral. Lineage: Bacteria; Pseudomonadati; Pseudomonadota; Alphaproteobacteria; Sphingomonadales; Sphingomonadaceae.